GGACAUGAGAUCAAUCUGCAUGGGGUCUCUGUCCCUCCAGCGAUCACCAGGGUUUACUUGGCUGAUCUGGCUGGCUAGGUCAUUCUCCUGUCCCAUGUAUACUCCCCAAGUGUCCUUUUUGAAGUCGCAAUCUCAAUCAGAGAAGAGGACCAUUGAUGAUUGUUGGUGAUGUGCAUGCUACUCAGCUCCCUUGUUUGGGUUUCCUCAUAGGCUCUCAUAGGUUCCAAAAGUCACCUCUAGGACAGAUCUAAUGCCAUGCCAUGGUGGUUGGGCAAGAUGUGGAGAUCUUGGGUGAAACAAUAUAGCCAGUAAACACUCAGUAUAUACCUAUACUACUAU
This 339-nucleotide small RNA is filed under the name Propithecus coquereli (Coquerel's sifaka). RNAcentral's name for it is "7SK RNA (ENSPCOG00000008238.1)". The stretch from base 1 to 185 matches the Rfam family "7SK RNA". Rfam says of the family: 7SK was discovered as an abundant small nuclear RNA in the mid-70s but a possible function has only recently been suggested. Two independent studies have found that 7SK RNA binds the CDK9/cyclin T complex (known as elongation factor P-TEFb). P-TEFb activates transcription by phosphorylating the C-terminal domain of RNA polymerase II. The record is from Rfam by way of RNAcentral. Lineage: Eukaryota; Metazoa; Chordata; Mammalia; Primates; Indriidae.